Molecule: long non-coding RNA, 1082 nt
Filed under: Equus caballus (horse)
Lineage: Eukaryota; Metazoa; Chordata; Mammalia; Perissodactyla; Equidae
Description: lncRNA (ENSECAG00000032924.3)
Source: RNAcentral
CACACAUUCCGUGGUUACCUGGCAAGGAUGGAGUCUUCAGAGAGUGAACCAUUCGGCAGGUGAAAUUCAUGAGGGAAAAGGAAGGAAAGGACUGGAACAUGUGCCCCUUGAGACCAAGAGGGCGGGUGUUCCCGGAAAGCAGACGGGAAAUCCAUCCUUGUUCUUCUUCCACCAUCCAGCCAUCCUCUCCUGCACCGCAACGCAGGGCUGGUGCACAGUGUCCGCUACCUUGUGGCCGUGCCCGACCCUGAGAGCUCCUCCGGGAGACAGGCCUCCACGAGCUCCUUUUAUCCCCCUGUGCUAACUUCAACCACCAGGAGCCUUGUAGAGAACAGGCUUGUUGCUGUGUGAUGAAGUGGAGAAGGAGCGGUUCCUGUCAUCCUAUAUUUUCAGAAAGGAAUCCUAUUUGUCUCAACCACAAAUAUUUUCCAGUUCAACCUACAUUCCGUACAAGACCAAACGCCAAACUGACGUGGCUGAAUGAAAAUGAACCUGGGAGCUCUGAACAACCCAGAUGCCUUUCAGUGCCCUUCGGAGACCCCAGCCCCCAUGCCAUGGGGGACGUUGUGAGCUCUACAAUUCCCGCAGGGUCUUUGUCAGUUUUUCUAUUGAUUUAAAAGAUGGCAACACCACUCAUGCAAAGUCUGAAUGGAGCCUGUGAAUCAUGGCGCCCUGGACUGACCUCACCAGUAGGGGGAUGCUGAUGGCCCAGGUGCCAGGAAGCAGCACCAACGAUGUGGGGCCAGUCCAUUGAAGAGGAAGGAUGGCGUCAUCUUGCUGACCUCGGAACUGAACAUGGCGCUUCGCUUGGGGACUACACUGCCUCUAAGUUUCCUAUUGAAUUAUGCAAACACUUUCCAUCUUCUGAGAAGAGGAAUGUUUUAAAUUCACCUGCAAAAAGUAAAAUAAAACAAAACAGUAUUUUUUCUAGAAACUAGAUUUAUAUAACGCAGAUAAUUUGUUUUAUUCCCCAAGACCAUGGAUAAUCUAAUAAACAUCAUCAACCCGAGUUUUAAAAAAAGGAGAUUUUCUGUAAAAUAAGGCCUAAAGCAAAAUCCAAGCCAGCAAGUGUGUAUCCGUCU